RNAcentral lists this ribosomal RNA (245 nucleotides) under unidentified alpha proteobacterium groupC. RNAcentral's name for it is "partial 16S small subunit ribosomal RNA". It matches the Rfam family "Bacterial small subunit ribosomal RNA", at positions 1106 to 1373 of the family's 1533-position model. The record is from RNAcentral. Lineage: Bacteria; Pseudomonadati; Pseudomonadota; Alphaproteobacteria.
CAUCUUUAGUUGCCAGCAGUUAAGCUGGGCACUCUAGAGAAACUGCCCGUGAUAAGCGGGAGGAAGGUGUGGAUGACGUCAAGUCCUCAUGGCCCUUACGGGUUGGGCUACACACGUGCUACAAUGGCAGAGACAAUGGGUUAAUCCCAAAAAGCUGUCUCAGUUCGGAUUGGGGUCUGCAACUCGACCCCAUGAAGUCGGAAUCGCUAGUAAUCGCGUAACAGCAUGACGCGGUGAAUACAUUC